CAGAUUCUAACUCAGGACCAAUCAGAGAAAGCCAAAGAUGCUUCUUCCCAAAUUAAUCCAUGAGAUGCUUCUAGUUAGCCCGCCUCCAGCCUCCCCAAGUCAACAACCUCCAAAGAGAGCAUGCUGGACACCUUCCCUUCUUCGCUAUAAAGCUUUCUCUCUGCACGGCCUUCAAGUCAAGCAAAUGUUGGCAAAGUUCAAAAAGCUUAUCAAUCAACACUGAGUGGACCUUCCCUAAGGAAUUGUAAAGUUGGCAACAGAGAAAGAAUAUCCACUUAAUAACACUUCUAUUCAACAUUGUGCAAAUGUUCAUGAAAGACAUAAAUUGUGGAAAAGAAGAAGUAAAGCUUUCUCUAUUCAAAGAUGACAUCAUUCUACAUGUAGAAAAUCCAAAAGAAUCUGCCCAAAAAACUACUAGAACUAAUAUGAAAAUUUAGCAAAAUUGUAAAAUACAAGUUUAAUAUAAAAUUCAAUUAUAUUUCUAUCUACUACCUACAAAAAUUGGAAAAUAAAAUAUAAUAUUACUUACAAUAGCAUCAAAUACAUAAAAUGUUUAGGAAUUGAUUGAAUGCUGUGUAAAAACUCUGUGCUAAAAUAUUGCAAAACAUUAAAACAUUGCUGAAUGAAAUUAAACAAGACUUAAAUAAAUGGAGA
This 654-nucleotide long non-coding RNA is filed under the name Homo sapiens (human). RNAcentral describes it as "HSALNT0229197". The record is from RNAcentral. Lineage: Eukaryota; Metazoa; Chordata; Mammalia; Primates; Hominidae.